GACGAACGCUGGCGGCGUGCCUAAUACAUGCAAGUAGAACGCUGAAGAGAGGAGCUUGCUCUUCUUGGAUGAGUUGCGAACGGGUGAGUAACGCGUAGGUAACCUGCCUUGUAGCGGGGGAUAACUAUUGGAAACGAUAGCUAAUACCGCAUAACAAUGGAUGACCCAUGUCAUUUAUUUGAAAGGGGCAAAUGCUCCACUACAAGAUGGACCUGCGUUGUAUUAGCUAGUAGGUGAGGUAACGGUUCACCUAGGCGACGAUACAUAGCCGACCUGAGAGGGUGAUCGGCCACACUGGGACUGAGACACGGCCCAGACUCCUACGGGAGGCAGCAGUAGGGAAUCUUCGGCAAUGGGGGCAACCCUGACCGAGCAACGCCGCGUGAGUGAAGAAGGUUUUCGGAUCGUAAAGCUCUGUUGUAAGUCAAGAACGAGUGUGAGAGUGGAAAGUUCACACUGUGACGGUAGCUUACCAGAAAGGGACGGCUAACUACGUG
Molecule: ribosomal RNA, 497 nt
Filed under: uncultured bacterium
Lineage: Bacteria
Description: partial 16S ribosomal RNA
Rfam family: Bacterial small subunit ribosomal RNA
Source: RNAcentral